GCUAGUUUGACGUUUAUUAGAUAAGCAAGUUUGUUUCGUAUUACGAAUUUACUUUAUUUCGAUUAAUAAAUUACUUGACGAUAUAGUUGAUUUUUUCAUCUGUAUGCCUUGCGUACGAUCACAUCUUUUCAAAUUUUCCAUGAAUGUUUCUAUAGUCUUCCUGCAGCUAUUGGUAAUGCAAAUACCCUUCCUUCAUUCAAAAUCUGCAAGAUGGUAUUCGUCUUCAAGAUUUAAUUUUAGCUGAGAAUAGAAAUGUGAAAAAUGACACGAUAUUUGAAAGUGGCAAAUAGCAUUCGAUUUAACAUCUUCUAUAAAUAAAGUACGACGAAAUUGAUUUAGUUUUGUGGUGAUGCGGGGAUGUGGAUCUGUCUUGAUCCUAUAGAAAGCCGAGAAGGCUGGCGUGCUUCUAUUUUGUUCUUCGUAUUUCUUUAUUGGACAUCUUUUGGUAUUAAUGGCAGUCUAACAAAUGCAUCUAACAUUCAUAAUACCGUUACAUCAAAAGUGUUAUCGCCAGUUUCAACGCAUCAUGACGACGACGAAUGUAGGAAUGUGACCACUGACGAUAGAGGGGCUACUGGUCUCUCAGUGGUUAGUCAAGGAUCUGGUUCUCCUCAUUCGCCAAUAGUGCCUCCACCUUUUCUCUAUGGAGUUCUUACCUGCCAACCCUAUCAAGGAAUUUCUGUGAAUCACAUAUACUUUCAACUAGCCAAUGCCUUCUUUCUCUUGUCACAUCUCGCACCGAGUGGCAUACAUGGCGUACUUUAUUUAAGGUGCACUCUGCUCGUGGGCUGUGCCUUUCUUGCUUUGUGGGGCUGGACAAUAGCUUGUUGGCUAGACGCUGCUCUUUGGAAUGCUCUGUUUGUUGCCAUCAACUUCGUCCAUGUAUGCACGCUUCUUUAUAAGCUCAGGCCUAUCAAGUUUUCAAGGGAAGUUGAAGAGGUAUAUGUUGCAGUGUUCCAGCCACUGAGAGUGUCACGUCAUCAGUUUAAAAAAGUAUUAAAUUGUAUGAAGAUUAUUCGGCAAUUGAAAUAUCAAGAGGUUUAUGCCCAAGAAAAAGUGACCAAAGUUGAUUCUUUAUCAUUAGUACUUUCUGGAAAGUUAGUAGUAUCACAAAAUGGAAGAGCAUUACAUAUUGUCUUCCCACAUCAGUUCCUGGAUUCUCCAGAAUGGUUUGGUGUAUCAACGGACGAGUACUUUCAGGUAUCAAUAACAGCUAUGGAAGAAUCAAGGAUAUUAUUAUGGCAUAGAGACAAGUUAAAAUUAAGCAUAAUUAGUGAUCAAUUUCUGCAGGCAGUGUUUGAUCAUAUUUUGGGAAGAGAUGUAGUCAAAAAAUUGAUGCAAGUUAGUGAAACAAUGGCUGCUAGCAGUCAUCAGCAACAAAAUGGACAAGUAAUUGGUUUAGGUGGUAUUGGCGCCUUAGAAAAUGAUCCUGAUACUAAACUUUUUGUUGUGAAAAAGACGGGCGAUAGUCAAGGUAUUACUGCUCUCAUCAGUCGUCAACUUCAAGAAGAGAGAAUGCCGCUGCUGUACACAACUCAGGAAGUGCUGAACAACACUUUGCAUCACAUCAAUCACUUAUGUACACCUACCUUACAUCCUGUGCAACACAGCAAUGUUCAGUCCUCCUUGUAACAUUCCUGUGACACAAAUUGUGCAAUUACUUUGCACAAAUUUAUGUUAUAUUUCUACAAUGGAUGUCCAUAGAUUUAUACAAAUAUCAUUGGGUAACUUCAUUUAUUUUCUUCUGGUUAUUGUUUCCAGCAGCAGGCGAUCCAAAUGCAUGGAGAUUGGGAAGAAUUGAAGAGACUGAUCAUGAAACACCUGUUUAAUGAAAUGAUCAUUAGACGAAUGUCAUCCUUAGCAGUCAAUAUAAAGCGACACCGGUCUUUUUACAUAAUGUAAAAUAUUUAUCAUUUCUGGAAACAUAGUAUGGUGUGCUGUGUGUGGAACAAUUGAACAUUCUCUUGCCAAUUGAUCAUUUUUCCCACAACUAGUCAAGCAUAAUUAAUACUGAAAGGAAAGAUUUGAUUGUUCAUAGUUAUAUAAUGGUUCCAUCCUAGUUUAUAAAACGAUGUACAAUUAUAUAUUUCUUUAUGCUUCCAAUAUAUUAUUGAAUACCACUAAAACUGGUUUAAAAGUGGCUAUUUAUAAUUCACACUGAUUUAUUUCUUAACAUAUGCAUAUGUUUAAUAUUGAAUGAAUACGAUUUUAUGUAUGUAUAUUGAAAUGGAAUGGAAUAGAAUGGAAGUUGUUCAUUCACAACGGCGUAACUUCUUUAGUGAGAGAUCUGUGAUUUAUUGGAACUGAUAGAGGAAAAGAAAUUAGGGAGGCCUAAAUACCUGAUUGUUUCCCAUACUCAGAUAUAGUGCCUUUUUACUUGCAUUUCAUUUAUUAAUUUAUCAAGGAAAAACAUAUACAGUACUAUUGUACACUAAUUUACAUAUGUAUUCAAUAUAUUUUUAAAAAAGUUCCUGGCGGAAAUCCAUAUAUUGCAGUAAAUAAUAUUAAAUUUAAUAUAAAUAAUACUGUUGAAAAAUGAAAAUUAUAAAAGUGUAAUAUGAUCAAUCCUCUGUCAUUAUGUUUGUAAUAAUUCAUUCACAAAUUCAAUAAUCUAUGUUAUUUCUAAAAUCAUUUGAUGAAACAAAUAAUACAGCAAAACAGUUUAGAAAAUUUAAUGGAACAAUUAAGAUGUAACAAAUAUAAUGGCGAAGGUAUAGUUAGAUUUUAGACAAUUUCCUUCAUAGAUGUUAUUGUUGAUGAUUAAAAUAAUUAAAUGUAAUGAAGCACUUAUAAUGUUUACUGUUUCAGUUGGCGAUUUCCGCUAGCAACUGGUCAUUACAUUACAAUCAAAACUGUUUUUUAAAUAAAAUUCAUACAGAGAAAUGUUGCGUGAGUCAUAAUAUCAUAGCACUAUUAGGAAAACGGCGUUCAAAUUAGAAGUACAGGAAGUUACGCCAGAAAGCGCUGAAUGGUAAUAAAACCACAACAUGAGCUAUAUUGAUAGAAUAUUUAUAUUGAUAUACAUUGCUGAUAGAAAAAUAAAAAAAUGCAUAUAACUUUUAAUGUUUAAUAUCGUAAAUUUAUCAGAAAUUGAUACAAUAAUAUUAUAAUCAUAAUUAUUGGUUUUUUGCUUGAAGAAGAAAACAAUGUUAAUGUUGAACCUAAUUUAUUUGUAAGUGAUAAUUACAAUAAAAAUCACUUAUUCGUGAAAGAGAUAACAAAAAAUUAAUACGCACAGAGGAAUAUAGAAGAAAACAUUCGAAUGAAAAGCGAAAUUUGAAGUAAAAAAUCUCAGGUUUCAAUAAUUGGAUACACUUUUAGGAGGAAAAAAAACAAAGAAAAUUCUGGAAGACAAUUUUGUCUAGUCUGUAAUAUAAUGUAUUAAAAAAAUAAUACUUUCAAAUGUUGCUAAUUGAAUUCAAUGCCCAGUUAAGGUUGUAAUACAUACUUUAAGAAAACUUUUUAUAUGUAAAAUUAUACUCCUAAACAUACUUUAUUCCAAAUAUUAUAACUAGUUUAAAGGUUGGAUAAUAAUCACUCCAUCAUGAUUGUAAAAAUAAUUUUCUCUUUAUUCUAUGAAAAAGAAUCAAAUUACUUUUUGUAUAAUGUUAAAUUGAAAAUGAUAUUCGUAUCUGUGUAAGAGACAUUAACUGUUUAUUUGAAUGGAUGUAAAUUGUUCAUUAUUAAUCUUUAUUGUUUAUUAUUUCUUAUUGUUAUAAUUAUGUGUAACCGUUUUUAGCAUAUAAUUAGGUAUACACAGAGGUAUCAAUGAAAGAAGAAAAUUUAAGCCAUAUUGAAUACAAUAAUGAAAAGUUUAAAGAGAGGAAUAAAAAAA
Non-coding RNA from Osmia lignaria (orchard mason bee), 3835 nucleotides. Lineage: Eukaryota; Metazoa; Arthropoda; Insecta; Hymenoptera; Megachilidae. The record is from RefSeq and is a predicted model, not a curated record.